AGCAGCCGCGGUGAUUCCAGCUCCAAUAGCGUAUAUUAAAGUUGCUGCAGUUAAAAAGCUCGUAGUUGAAUUUCGGGAUCAAUAUGUUGGUCGUGCCUCGGUACGUACUAGCUUAUUGGUUUCUUCCUUCUGACGAACCAUAAUGUCAUUUAUUUGGUGUUAUGGGGAAUCAGGACUGUUACUUUGAAAAAAUUAGAGUGUUUAAAGCAGGCUCACGCUUGAAUACAUUAGCAUGGAAUAAUGAAAUAGGACGUUUGAUUCUAUUUUGUUGGUUUCUAGGAUCGACGUAAUGAUUAAUAGGGAUAGUUGGGGGCAUUAGUAUUCAAUUGUCAGAGGUGAAAUUCUUGGAUUUAUUGAAGACUAACUACUGCGAAAGCAUUUGCCAAGGAUGUUUUCAUUAAUCAAGAACGAAAGUUAGGGGAUCGAAGACGAUCAGAUACCGUCGUAGUCUUAACCAUAAACUAUGCCGACUAGGGAUCGGAUGAUGUUAAUUUUUUCAAUGACUCAUUCGGCGCCUUAC
Molecule: ribosomal RNA, 520 nt
Filed under: uncultured Glomus
Lineage: Eukaryota; Fungi; Glomeromycota; Glomeromycetes; Glomerales; Glomeraceae
Description: SSU rRNA
Rfam family: Eukaryotic small subunit ribosomal RNA
Source: RNAcentral